Molecule: ribosomal RNA, 255 nt
Filed under: uncultured bacterium
Lineage: Bacteria
Description: partial 16S ribosomal RNA
Rfam family: Bacterial small subunit ribosomal RNA
Source: RNAcentral
UACGUAGGGGGCAAGCGUUGUCCGGAUUCAUUGGGCGUAAAGAGCGUGUAGGCGGCCAGGUAGGUCGGUUGUGAAAACUGGAGGCUCAACCUUCAGAGGUCGACCGAAACCAUCUGGCUAGAGUCCGGGAGAGGAGAGUGGAAUUCCUGGUGUAGCGGUGAAAUGCGCAGAUAUCAGGAAGAACACCCGUGGCGAAAGCGGCGUCUCUGGGACGGUACUGACGCUGAGACGCGAAAGCGUGGGGGAGCGAACAGG